AUGCUCACUUUGGCAGCGUGUAUAUUAAAACUGAAGCCAUACAGAGAAAAUUGGCUGGGCUCCUGAGCAGAGACAACUUAGAAACUCACGAGACACUUAGAUUUUUG
Small nuclear RNA from Artibeus jamaicensis (Jamaican fruit-eating bat), 107 nucleotides. Lineage: Eukaryota; Metazoa; Chordata; Mammalia; Chiroptera; Phyllostomidae. The record is from RefSeq and is a predicted model, not a curated record.